AUGCAGUACUUUAUUGCCAACCAUUCUUCAUAGCCAAAGAUGAUGUGGCUCAAUUUUACCAUGGGCACGGGCGUGGGGAAGGCAAUUUCUCGGCCAUUUUGGCUCGCGAUCACCAUUCCAUCGCUCUCGCGGAAUGUGGUGCCCGUGAAGCUCGGGAAGCAGCAAGACAAGAUCUCAUAUAGGAUUAGACGAGAGGGCUCCGGGAGCUUGGAUGCCUCAGCCCGGAAGCGCUGUUCCAUCAGCAUCGUAGACGGAGGCUGAUUCGGAAAAAAGGGUUGGUCAUUUGAUUGGAUCGCGGAGCCAGUUACUCUGACCCCGCCUGGUUCUUGGUUGCGCCGAACGCGAGAAGAGCGUCCCCUGAAUGCUACUUACGCGUGACGGUUGCGGUCGGGAGGCCUGUGCCGCCGAUACUAUUGUUGCCGAAUGAGGUGAUCGAAACGCCGCCUACAUUGCUCAACCCUAUACCUGUUUCCAAGAAUUGUGACGUCUGUGAUGA
Molecule: unclassified non-coding RNA, 496 nt
Filed under: plant metagenome
Description: partial contains 5.8S ribosomal RNA, internal transcribed spacer 2, and large subunit ribosomal RNA
Source: RNAcentral